Pocillopora damicornis (cauliflower coral) is the source of this 291-nucleotide long non-coding RNA. NCBI's taxonomy places the organism in Eukaryota, Metazoa, Cnidaria, Anthozoa, Scleractinia, Pocilloporidae. The record is from RefSeq and is a predicted model, not a curated record.
AAUACAGUCAGUUAAUGUGCAGUCAGUAACAGUCAUAAAAACCAACGCUACCAUUUACUUACCACAGUUGUUAUUCCACCUCUCCGGGUGUAAACAGCUUCUGGUCAAAUCAUAGUUCCGAUCGAAGGUUCACUGACUGCCAAGAAACAGCAGGCUUCAAGUCCUGAGACAACAAAGGCCACAUACAGACAGUGAGCAAUUUCGGUGUCAGUUAUGAACGCGAAUAUUUUGCUUGGUAUAGUAUUCAUAGUCGCCUGUUAUGGUGCAGUUUCGAGUUUGUCGUCUGGCCAA